RNAcentral lists this long non-coding RNA (2744 nucleotides) under Sus scrofa (pig). RNAcentral's name for it is "lncRNA (ENSSSCG00035052437.1)". Lineage: Eukaryota; Metazoa; Chordata; Mammalia; Artiodactyla; Suidae. The record is from RNAcentral.
AUUUAUUUUUUGUCUUUUGUCUUUUUGUCUUUUUGUUGUUAUUGCAAUUUCUUGGGCCGCUCCCGCGGCAUAUGGAGGUUCCCAGGCUAGGGGUUGAAUCGGAGCUGUAGCCACCGGCCUACGCCAGAGCCACAGCAACGCAGGAUCCGAGCCGUGUCUGCAACCUACACCACAGCUCACGGCAACCCUGGAUCGUUAACCCACUGAGCAAGGGCAGGGACCAAACCCGCAACCUCAUGGUUCCUAGUCGGAUUCGUUAACCACUGCGCCACGACGGGAACUCCUUUUUUUUUUCUUUUUUAAUUUCUUUCUUUUUGCUUUUUAGGGCCGCACCCGUGGCAUAUGGAGGUUCCCAGGCUAGGGGUCUAAUCGGAGCUGCAGCUGCCGGCCUUCACCACAACCAUAGCCAUACCAGAUCUGAGCCACGUCUGUGACCUACACCACAGCUCACAGCAAUGCUGGAUCCUUAACCCACGAAGUGAGGCCAGGGAUCGAACCCACAACCUCAGGGUUCCUAGCUGGAUUCCUUCCUGCUGCGCCAGGACAGGAACUCCUUUUAAAUUGUGGUAAAAUACGCGUGAUAGGGAAUUCACAAGCUUCACCCAUUGACGUGUACAAGUGAGUAGGACUCAGGGGAUUCACACUGUUCACUGUCAGCACCAUACAUCCCAGAAGGAUUUCCAUCCGGCAAAAUAAAACUCUGUAGCCAUUAAACAAAAACGCCAGCUCGCCAUGCCCCCUUCUCCCAGCUCAUCCCUUUUUAAGGCUGAAUAAUAUUUCGUCCAUUGUAUGAAUAUAGCACAUUUUGUUUAUCCAUUUAUCUGUCGGUGGACACAGGUUAUUUCCAUGUUUUAGUGGUUUGGAAUAAUGCUGCCGUGAACAUGGGUGUACACCUAUCUGUGAGUCUCUGCUUUGUUCAUGUUGCCUUCUGAUUAAACAAAUUUUUUUUUCUUUUUUGUCUUUUCUAGGCCCACUCCCGUGGCAUAUGGAGGGUCCCAGGCUAGGGGUCCAGUUGGAGCUGUAGCCGCUGGCCUACACCAGAGCCACAGCAACUCGGGAUCCCAGCCGCAUCUGCAACCUACACCACAGCUCACGGCCAUGCUGGAUCAUUAACCCACUGAUCAAGGUCGGGGAUCGAACCUGCAACCUCGUGGUUCCUAGUUGGAUUCGUUAACCACUGUGCCACGACGAGAACUCCAUGAUUAAACAAAAAUUUUUUUAAACUCACUUUUUUCAUUCUUCCUUUCCUUUAUGGUUUGUGGGGUUUUUUUUGGGGGGGGGAGAUGUAGGUGCGACAUAUGGAGGUUCCCAGGCUAGGGGUCGAAUUGGAGCUGUAGCUGCCAGCCUACACCACAGCCAUAGCCACAGCCACGCCAGAUCCAAGCCACAUCUGUGACCUACACCACAGCUCACGGCAACGCCAGAUCCUUAACCUACUGCAAGGCCAGGGAUUGAACCCUCAUCCUCAUGGAUACUAGUCGGGUUUGUUUCUGCUGCGCUGCAACUGGAACUCCUUGAGGUCUUAAAGAGACAUCUGUGCACCUGUGUUCACAGCAGUACUAUUCACGAAAGCCGAAAGGCGGAAGGAAGCCGAGUGUCCGUCAGUGGAUGGACGGAUAAACAAAACGGGUCUAUCCGCACACUGGGAAAUCAUUCAACCUUACAAAAUGAAAACCCGGAGUUCCCACUGUGGCUCCGCUGGCUAAGAGCCUGAUGAGUAUCCAUGAGGAUGUGGGUUCGAUUCUUGGCCUCGCUCAGUGGGUUACGGAUCUGGCAUUGCCGUGAGCUGUGGUGUAGGUUGCAGAUUCAGCUCAGAUUCUGUGGGGCUGUGGCUAUAGCUGGCUUGCCUGGGAACCUCUAUAUGUCACAGGUGCAGGCUAAAAAAAAAAGCGGGGGGAACCUCCCCUGUCAUAGUCUACAAAAUGGAUGAAUCUACAAGACAUUAGGCCGAGUGAAAUACGCCGGGCACAAAAGGACAAAUAUGAGAUGACUCCCCUUAAACGAGACGUCCAGAGUGGCCCAGUUCAUAGAGACAGCGUUCCAGGUGGUUGUGGGGCAGGGAGCUAUGUUUGCCAGAAACAGAAGUUCAGUUUGGGAAGAUGGAAAGUUCUGGAGCUGGAGGAGGAUGGUAGGGGCUGUAUAACCAUGUGAAUGUGCUAAAUGCCACUGGACCGUGAGAACUGCAGCCACUCUCCACACGAAAGAUCCCCUGAAGCCUUCCAAGUGGCCUGACCCAACUCCGGCACAGCUUCCUGCAGGUGCCUGGGAAGGCCCCACCCUGCUUCUCUCCCAUCUGGACCAACGCAAGGCCACCAAAAGUCACUCUUUGUGCCAGCCAGCCCCUCGCUGAUAGGCCUCUGGCCUCCCUUUCUUGGGGGUAUUUACUAAAAAUAAAAACAAAGAAAAACCGAUAACUUACGAUUGUAACGCUUUCCUCUGUCCUUUGGAGACUGCGCGUUCCUGCUACAGUGGAGAAUGAUCUUUCUGGAAGACCUCAGAGACGGUCCUUUUAAGCAUCGUGGUCAAGAAAAGCAGAGCCUCGGCCCCCCAGGCUCUGUGGGAGGGGAGAUGGCCGGCUGAGCAAAGCCGGUUCGUGGACGCAGCUGACCCAGCGGUGUUUACACGGACCAGCCCUCUCCAGGUUUUUGUAUCGAUUCACUUCCCCGACUCUGCCUGGGCCCAGCCGCUGCUUCUCCCCGCUCCUGGUCUCCCUUGAAAAUGCCCGCUCAUCUCAGGCUCAGCUG